GUCAAUGGACAGCUUUGCUGUCCAUAUUUGUUUCCAUAUUUGUUUCCUUGAUUUACUCUUCAGAAUAAUUAGCUUAAUAUUUGACAGAUUGUAUAGGAAUAGAAUUAGCAUAUACAUAGUUCUUUCCAUGUAUAGAAUCCUUUCCAUGAAUAGAAUUC
Long non-coding RNA from Juglans microcarpa x Juglans regia, 158 nucleotides. RefSeq lists it as uncharacterized. Lineage: Eukaryota; Viridiplantae; Streptophyta; Magnoliopsida; Fagales; Juglandaceae. The record is from RefSeq and is a predicted model, not a curated record. The transcript is spliced from 3 exons.